UACAGAGGUCCCAAGCGUUGUUCGGAUUCACUGGGCGUAAAGGGUGCGUAGGUGGUGAGGUAAGUCGGAUGUGAAAUCUCCAGGCUCAACCUGGAAAUGGCAUCGGAAACUACCUCGCUGGAGGUUUGGAGGGGGGACUGGAAUUCUCGGUGUAGCAGUGAAAUGCGUAGAUAUCGAGAGGAACACCAGUGGCGAAGGCGAGUCCCUGGACAACACCUGACACUGAGGCACGAAAGCUAGGGGAGCAAACGGG
This 253-nucleotide ribosomal RNA is filed under the name uncultured bacterium. RNAcentral describes it as "partial 16S ribosomal RNA". It matches the Rfam family "Bacterial small subunit ribosomal RNA", at positions 524 to 776 of the family's 1533-position model. The record is from RNAcentral.